AACGCACGAGACCUGCGGACCUGCGGAGGGAUCAUUACCGAGUUAUCCAACUCCCAACCCCUGUGAAUUAUACCUUUAAUUGUUGCUUCGGCGGGACUUCGCGCCCGCCGGGGACCCGAACCUUCUGAAUUUUUAAUAAGUAUCUUCUGAGUGGUUAAAAAAAAAUGAAUCAAAACUUUUAACAACGGAUCUCU
Molecule: unclassified non-coding RNA, 194 nt
Filed under: soil metagenome
Description: partial contains 5.8S ribosomal RNA, internal transcribed spacer 2, and large subunit ribosomal RNA
Source: RNAcentral